ACUAACAUACGGAUGCCACCGAUAAACAAGAGGCACAAGGAGCGUUUUUAUAUUAUUUAAACAUGAUUACGAUUACAAAGACAUCUCAGCUACGGUGUAUCCUAACAACAGUAACAUGUUUAACUGUGAAUUGGAUAAAGACAUCGUUUGGAUCAAAAAUAAGGUAGCUAGCUGUAUAGUAUAACUCGCUUUUAAUGCUACAAUAUUGUAUCUUGUUUGGUAACAAGUUAGCUAGAUUUGACACAUAUUUGACACCACUGUCAGCACAAAGCUAGACAGCAGCAUACCCAAAAUCUGCACAAAAACGGGCGAUAAAGGUUUCUCUAGCACUUACACUGGAGAGAGAAGACCCAAGGAAGAUCAUGUGUUUGAAGCUUUGGGAACAACAGAUGAGCUGUCAUUAGCAAUAGGAUUCAGUGUGUCUUACAAGAUGUGGGAUCCAACAUUGCCACACCAUGGUCAUCUGCAAGAGAAAGAUAAGUAAAUAUAUUUCUGCAAAUCCUUUUGUAGAAUCAUUACACACAGCUCACCCCAGCCGGUGGCCUUCUCAUUCUAUUCAUACUCUUAUCUCACUCUAUCCAACAGAGAAAAGCAAGUUCAGUUCCCAGCCAGUGGCAGACCUGGAAAGCUGUCUCGACGCAUUCACAGAGGAGCUGCCACCACUGACAAACUUUAUAUUACCUAUUGAGCGACUACCUGUUUACAGUGGCCAGGUACACAGCCAUGAAAGAAGGUAAUGAGGAGAAAAUCUACAAAAGACCUGAGUGACAUCCACACAUGAAUGAACAGACUGGAGAACUUUGAAACAACAUUUAUUCUGUUUAAGGCUUGAAUUCAUCAUUGGCAUAUGUGAAAGACAGAUUGAUGGUCUAAGCUUGAAUAUCUCGUAAUGGAAUUGCCCCUAAAUUUCAAAUAAAGACUAGAAUCCAAGUUCGACUUUGCCAGAGGCUAAACCUUACUACACGUUGCUUUUAAUGAAAUGUGGAAAAACUGCUACAACAAUAACCUGUGACACUAGGAUAAUACCGAAUAAAGAAUUAGAAUUUUGUAAUGAA
Molecule: long non-coding RNA, 1055 nt
Organism: Salmo salar (Atlantic salmon)
Lineage: Eukaryota; Metazoa; Chordata; Actinopteri; Salmoniformes; Salmonidae
Source: RefSeq, a predicted model, not a curated record